Molecule: ribosomal RNA, 455 nt
Filed under: uncultured bacterium
Lineage: Bacteria
Description: bacterial SSU rRNA
Rfam family: Bacterial small subunit ribosomal RNA
Source: RNAcentral
UACGGAAGGCAGCAGUGGGGAAUAUUGCACAAUGGGCGCAAGCCUGAUGCAGCCAUGCCGCGUGUAUGAAGAAGGCCUUCGGGUUGUAAAGUACUUUUCAGCGGGGAGGAAGGCGGUGGAGUUAAUAGCUUCACCGAUUGACGUUACCCGCAGAAGAAGCACCGGCUAACUCCGUGCCAGCAGCCGCGGUAAUACGGAGGGUGCAAGCGUUAAUCGGAAUUACUGGGCGUAAAGCGCACGCAGGCGGUCUGUCAAGUCGGAUGUGAAAUCCCCGGGCUUAACCUGGGAACUGCAUUCGAAACUGGCAGGCUAGAGUCUUGUAGAGGGGGUAGAAGUUCCAGGUGUAGCGGUGAAAUGCGUAGAGAUCUGGAGGAAUACCGGUGGCGAAGGCGGCCCCUGGACAAGACUGACGCUCAGGGUGCGAAAGCGUGGGGAGCAAACAGGAUUAGGAUACC